RNAcentral lists this ribosomal RNA (497 nucleotides) under uncultured bacterium. RNAcentral's name for it is "partial 16S ribosomal RNA". It matches the Rfam family "Bacterial small subunit ribosomal RNA", at positions 28 to 507 of the family's 1533-position model. The record is from RNAcentral.
GAUGAACGCUGGCGGCGUGCCUAACACAUGCAAGUCGAGCGAACGGACGCGAAUCUUGCUUCUCUGAUGUUAGCGGCGGACGGGUGAGUAACACGUGGAUAACCUACCUAUAAGACUGGGAUAACUUCGGGAAACCGGAGCUAACACCGUAUAAGAUUUUGAACCGCAUGGUUCAAAAGAGAAAUACGGUCUUGCUGUCACUUAUAGAUGGAUCCGCGCUGCAUUAGCUAGUUGGUAAGGUAACGGCUUACCAAGGCAACGAUGCGUAGCCGACCUGAGAGGGUGGUCGGCCACACUGGAGCUGGGACACGGUCCAGGCUCCUACGGGAGGCAGCAGUAGGGAAUCUUCCGCAGUGGGCGAAAGCCUGACGGAGCAACGCCGCGUGAGUGAUGAAGGUCUUCGGAUCGUAAAACUCUGUUAUUAGGGAAGAACAUAUGUGUAAGUAACUGUGCACAUCCUGACGGUACCUAAUCAGAAAGCCACGGCUAACUACGUG